UGGGGAAUCUUGCGCAAUGGGCGAAAGCCUGACGCAGCGACGCCGCGUGCGGGAGGAAGCUCUUCGGGGUGUAAACCGCUGUCAGGGGGGAAGAACGGACGGGGGAGGAAAUGCUCCCGUUUUGACGGUACCUCCAGAGGAAGCACCGGCUAACUCUGUGCCAGCAGCCGCGGUAAUACAGAGGGUGCGAGCGUUGUUCGGAAUUACUGGGCGUAAAGCGCGCGCAGGCGGCCCUUUAAGUCCGUCGGUCAAAUGCCGGGGCUCAACCCCGUUGCAUGCCGAGGAUACUGGAGGGCUGGAGACACGUAGAGGCAAGCGGAAUUCCGGGUGUAGCGGUGGAAUGCGUAGAGAUCCGGAAGAACACCGGAGGCGAAGGCGGCUUGCUGGGCGUGAUCUGACGCUGAGGCGCGAAAGCGUGGGGAGCGAACAG
This 430-nucleotide ribosomal RNA is filed under the name uncultured bacterium. RNAcentral's name for it is "bacterial SSU rRNA". It matches the Rfam family "Bacterial small subunit ribosomal RNA", at positions 355 to 775 of the family's 1533-position model. The record is from RNAcentral.